UGGUAAUUCUAGAGCUAAUACAUGCUAAAAACCCCGACUUCGGAAGGGGUGUAUUUAUUAGAUAAAAAACCAAUGCCCUUCGGGGCUCUCUGGUGAAUCAUAAUAACUUAACGAAUCGCAUGGCCUUGCGCCGGCGAUGGUUCAUUCAAAUUUCUGCCCUAUCAACUUUCGAUUGUAGGAUAGAGGCCUACAAUGGUAUCAACGGGUAACGGGGAAUUAGGGUUCGAUUCCGGAGAGGGAGCCUGAGAAACGGCUACCACAUCCAAGGAAGGCAGCAGGCGCGCAAAUUACCCAAUCCCGACACGGGGAGGUAGUGACAAUAAAUACUGAUACAGGGCUCUUUUGGGUCUUGUAAUUGGAAUGAGUACAAUCUAAAUCCCUUAACGAGGAACAAUUGGAGGGCAAGUCUGGUGCCAGCAGCCGCGGUAAUUCCAGCUCCAAUAGCGUAUAUUAAAGUUGUUGCAGUUAAAAAGCUCGUAGUUGAACCUUGGGCCUGGCUGGCCGGUCCGCCUCACCGCGUGCACUGGUUCGGCCGGGCCUUUCCUUCUGGGGAGCCGCAUGCCCUUUACUGGGCGUGUCGGGGAACCAGGACUUUUACUUUGAAAAAAUUAGAGUGUUCAAAGCAGGCCUUCGCUCGAAUACAUUAGCAUGGAAUAAUAGAAU
This 663-nucleotide ribosomal RNA is filed under the name Myriangiales sp. A578. RNAcentral's name for it is "SSU rRNA". It matches the Rfam family "Eukaryotic small subunit ribosomal RNA", at positions 150 to 823 of the family's 1831-position model. Lineage: Eukaryota; Fungi; Ascomycota; Dothideomycetes; Myriangiales. The record is from RNAcentral.